This 23-nucleotide microRNA is filed under the name Equus caballus (horse). RNAcentral's name for it is "eca-miR-9039". The record is from miRBase by way of RNAcentral. Lineage: Eukaryota; Metazoa; Chordata; Mammalia; Perissodactyla; Equidae.
UCCGUUCUGUAGGUGAGGAAGCU